GACGUAGGGCGCGAGCGUUGUCCGGAUUUAUUGGGCGUAAAGAGCUCGUAGGCGGCUUGUCGCGUCGUCCGUGAAAACCCACAGCUCAACUGUGGGCUUGCGGUCGAUACGGGCAGGCUAGAGUUCGGUAGGGGAGACUGGAAUUCCUGGUGUAGCGGUGAAAUGCGCAGAUAUCAGGAGGAACACCGAUGGCGAAGGCAGGUCUCUGGGCCACUACUGACGCUGAGAAGCGAAAGCAUGGGGAGCGAACAGG
RNAcentral lists this ribosomal RNA (253 nucleotides) under uncultured bacterium. RNAcentral's name for it is "partial 16S ribosomal RNA". It matches the Rfam family "Bacterial small subunit ribosomal RNA", at positions 524 to 776 of the family's 1533-position model. The record is from RNAcentral.